CCCCCUGUUCAGAACAGAGGUUUUGGUUCAGGAACAGUAUAACUUUCCCAUUUUUUGUUUUUAUUGCACGUUGCCUGUCAUUAUGAUGCCUUUGAAAAGAUCCUCUCGGCUGGUACUGAAGUUGCAACCACCCCCAGGUGCUUCUUGGCAGGUAGACUAAAGGUUUGUGUCCACUAGAUGCUAUUUUCCCGCACGGCAACGCACCGCAUCUUAAAAUCACACGGACGGCGGUCACUAGCGGACCACAACAUGGUCACAUGACAGCGCUGACCAACAGCAGGACGCUACGUGGUGACGUCACCGAGCUUUCAGCUGGACAGUCCUGCAGACAAGUCGGAUAAACACAGCGGCUCGGCCGCAAACUUUCCCUUUUAUUUCAAAAACACUUCAGUGAAAAGUAUUUCUGAAAGCAUUUGAGGCGAGAAAUAAUCUGCAGCAGUUGAAUCUGUCCUCGUUUUAGGUCACCGACGCCUAGUUUAGAAGUUUGAGGACAGUUUCACGAUGCGUGGAAUCUCCGCACGCUACAUUGAAUUUGCAUAAAGUAGAAGUCCAGUGUACUUUAUGCAAAUGAGCUGCAGCCUUCUCCAGGUAAACACACCGGAUCCCAGCGGGAAACACCCCGCGGCUCUGCAGACACCCUUCUCUCCUCACCAGCAAGUGAACAUCCUGGACGUCAUGUGUGGAAUUAACAAGCUUUAACAGACUCACUCAACCAAAUGUCAACAGAAUAAUUGUGGCUCUACUUGCAGACGUGUUGUGGAUAGGAAUGUUGUACGCCUUCUGAGAAACCGGACCGAAGGGAACACAAGCUGAGGACUACCUUCACUGUAAGGACCUGUACACCACACUCCUCAUGACCUUAGUGAAACCCGGAGGGAUCGUCUCUUCUUUAGGACACACAUUCCAGGCUCCACCUCCUCUGAAAAAGCUUCCCUCUGUGCAGUUACUGCAACACAGUCUUCUUUCUGUCAGAGACUGACAACGUGCAGGAUUACUGCAGCCUAAUACUGUCCACUUCUGGCACUGUGCUGAAAAUGGGUUCAAUCAAGAAAGUAUGGAAAUCAAAACAUAUAGCCAUAUAGUAAAAUCCAAAGUUUAAUUUUGCAUUCUGUUCUUUUUCUGUUUUGAAUUUAACAAAUGUUCACGUUGCUGUUAAAUGUUUUUAAACUGUUAUCCAAAAGAAGUUAUUACAUUGUCCAAACUUUGUCCAAAUCUUUCUAAGGUGGUGUCUGGGGAGGGGCAAGGCUCAGUUGAGUGGUUCACCAGCAUCGGAAACGAGCAAACUGUUUCGUUUGUGCUGACCCGUGAGGAGUUCACAGACAAACUGGGGCCGAUGUGCAGGGGAGUUAUGAAAAGAUUUCAGUUGGCCAAUCAACCUGUCCCCAAAAUCCUGUACGUGGACCGUGGGUGUUGCCGAGCACAGGACCCAACAGCAGUGGAGACUUUGUUUCAGCCUGGGGUGGACUGUGGGUUGGUUGUGUGUCUGGGCAUCUUCCACUGGAUCCACUGGUUUGAGUCCCACUCCAAGUACGCUGCUUUUAAAUCUGCGCUCGCCUGAGCAGUGCUGGCCUACAAUCACAGUCAGUCAGAGCUAAAAAUCCAGCAGUGCUGCAGUCUGCCUCUGAUAAUGACGUUGUCAGGAGCAGCUGAAGCAUCAUGUGCAGAGGGUGACACUCGGGGCUCAGGAAACAUUUCAGCUCAUCCACCUGAUGAGUAGCUUAAAGAUCCUGCUGGAUUGGAUGAGAGUGGAGUGAGCCUCUUCAGAACACCUGAGGCCAUUGAUGGGAUGUGGGCAGCACAACAGAGACAUCUGCAGUGCAUCCAGGAUCCACCAGACAUUAACAUGUACAAGGUGGCACAAACCAACCAUCAACAACAUGGAUGUGUCCUCCUCCAAGUGCCUGCAUGUGUAACAGAGAGAGCUGGGCCAGACCAGCCACACAUGGAAACAUCAGCCUGGAAGGAUUCCACAAGACUUUGUCAAGCAGGAUUCCAGGUCCUCACUGUGCAGCACAGCCCUAUCAGGUUUACCUGAUCAGUGGCAUCGUCCAGUGGAACGCUGACAGGAGCUCUGAUGUGGUGUUUAGGGGCAGAGGAUGGUGUUACUGGAACUACUCUGCACCGCUGAUCAACCACCUCAACACCUCCUGUCAGCAGCUGUCUGGGGAGACUGGAGGAGAAUUUCAGGAUCCCUGCUGUUGUCUCCUCCAACGAGCUGCUUGAGUAUGGGGGAAUCCAGACCCUUCUCUCUUCAGGACAUCAUCAACGAUGGACCUGGUCCCGAGCAGGAGGAGGUUCAGUCUGGGCAGCCUGAUCCAGACGAGGCUGAUGACGGGGAGGAACAUGAGCUGGAUGCUGACCUGCCCCACAUCACGCUUAACUAGUGAGGAAACUAUCACCAGGCCUGCAUCAUCCCUCGCUGUAUCCACAGCAGCCCAAAAGAUUGCUGGCGUCUCUGGGAUUACUGGCCCCUCCAGACAGCCCAUCCUGCUUGCUUCAUCAGACCCUGCAACUGCAGCUCACACUGCUGGCACACCUGUGACUACUUCUUCGUGCUGGACAAGAGCAACGCUGUACAAGCAGAAGCUGAAGGGCUACCAGGGUGCAAAAUCUGCCAGCAUGUACAGUCUGUGGCCAGCCAACACAGGGACAUAGAAAGUAGAAAAAAGGCUUUCUGCCCAGUAACAAUGAUGUCCCCGUUUAAAGGUCUGAGCAACAGAGUGUUUACCAGCUACGAGCACUUCACCUCUGCUGUUGACAGUUUGAAUUGUAAAUAUGCUGUAAAUACGCAAGGUUGCUUUGUACAUUUUGUAUGUUUGGGGCACUGAAUUGUAAAUAUCUGUAAAUAUGUUAGAGUUGCUUUUUAUAUGCUGUGAUUGAUUUAGAAAUACAUUAGGUUUGCUUUGUAUAUACUGUAAAUAAUUUUCAUUAGUCUGAGUUUUUAUUUAGUUUUUUACACUUAAAUUGUCUAAAAUCCUGUGUACUGUAUUAUUUUUAUUCAAUAAAGUGAUCUGGAGGAUGGAACUGUGAUCUGUAAAUAGUUGCAUCUUACUGACAAAUUGUAAAUAUUUUUUAUUUUCAUGUCCUUUAAUUCUGAAUCAUGUUCAAUGAUACUUUGUCGACACUAGUGCUGUGGUUUUUCCAUGUUCCUUAGUUCAUGCACUUGAUGUAUUAAAGGGGUCAGUGCUACAGUAACAGUGAGUUGUGGAAUAUCAAUUUAUGAAUGCAAAAAUGGGUAAAUUAAAAUGGAGAACACAGGUGGACUGUCAUGUUACUUACAGGUAAAUUUGUAUGUCUGUAGUUCAACAAUAUGUCAUUGUUCUACUCAUGUAGCAAUAGAAAUAUUAUGGUGACUUUAAUCAGCCUCCCAAUAACCAUAAGGACCUUUAUAAAAACACAAGUGAUGAGUGUAAAUAACCAGCAGUUAGGACAAAGCAUCAUCAAACAAGUCUACCUUUUAAAAAUUCAGCUUUAUAUUUAGUUUUUAUCAACAUCAGAACAAUAUAAAUUAUUUUUUUCAGUUGUACAAAGUAUUUGCACACAUAUAUUAAAUAUCAAUCAAGAAGAACGCACAUAAACAUUCGCUCCAAAAUAUACACAUAAAAGCCACUUAAUGAUCACAGUAUAUGUCCCCAACAACAGGGUCCACUAGCAAAAAUACAGGCGUAAUUACAGGGAAAAGCUGGACUGUGUGUAUUGAGUGCUAAACAUGAGGCAGGAGGACUGAGCUUGCUUUUAGCUGAGGUAGUAACGGGUUUUUACGGGCUACAAACUGUUCUCUGUUUUGUUCGUGGUUUAAUCCUUCCCUCGACGUUUCAACGGUGAGGUCAAGCGCAACAACUCUGCGCCAUUUUGUGGGUUUCAGACGGUCCAGGUUCAGGUGUGUUCGCUUAGCUGCCGUUCGUACGGAGAACCAAGGAACGGAGUGGACGACAGCUAAAACCUAUGGAGAUUAAAAUCUCUUUUUGAGGGAGAAUUUGCCAAGACGACCACGUGAAACCAAAUGGUAUCACAGAGGAAGAUCCCUGAUGACUAACUGCUGUGUGCCAAGACGUGUUGUGGAUAGGAAUGUUGUACGCCUUCUGAGAAACCGGACCGAAGGGAACACAAGCUGAGGACUACCUUCACUGUAAGGACCUGUACACCACACUCCUCAUGACCUUAGUGAAACCCGGAGGGAUCGUCUCUUCUUUAGGACACACAUUCCAGGCUCCACCUCCUCUGAAAAAGCUUCCCUCUGUGCAGUUACUGCAACACAGUCUUCUUUCUGUCAGAGACUGACAACGUGCAGGAUUACUGCAGCCUAAUACUGUCCACUUCUGGCACUGUGCUGAAAAUGGGUUCAAUCAAGAAAGUAUGGAAAUCAAAACAUAUAGCCAUAUAGUAAAAUCCAAAGUUUAAUUUUGCAUUCUGUUCUUUUUCUGUUUUGAAUUUAACAAAUGUUCACGUUGCUGUUAAAUGUUUUUAAACUGUUAUCCAAAAGAAGUUAUUACAUUGUCCAAACUUUGUCCAAAUCUUUCUAAGGUGGUGUCUGGGGAGGGGCAAGGCUCAGUUGAGUGGUUCACCAGCAUCGGAAACGAGCAAACUGUUUCGUUUGUGCUGACCCGUGAGGAGUUCACAGACAAACUGGGGCCGAUGUGCAGGGGAGUUAUGAAAAGAUUUCAGUUGGCCAAUCAACCUGUCCCCAAAAUCCUGUACGUGGACCGUGGGUGUUGCCGAGCACAGGACCCAACAGCAGUGGAGACUUUGUUUCAGCCUGGGGUGGACUGUGGGUUGGUUGUGUGUCUGGGCAUCUUCCACUGGAUCCACUGGUUUGAGUCCCACUCCAAGUACGCUGCUUUUAAAUCUGCGCUCGCCUGAGCAGUGCUGGCCUACAAUCACAGUCAGUCAGAGCUAAAAAUCCAGCAGUGCUGCAGUCUGCCUCUGAUAAUGACGUUGUCAGGAGCAGCUGAAGCAUCAUGUGCAGAGGGUGACACUCGGGGCUCAGGAAACAUUUCAGCUCAUCCACCUGAUGAGUAGCUUAAAGAUCCUGCUGGAUUGGAUGAGAGUGGAGUGAGCCUCUUCAGAACACCUGAGGCCAUUGAUGGGAUGUGGGCAGCACAACAGAGACAUCUGCAGUGCAUCCAGGAUCCACCAGACAUUAACAUGUACAAGGUGGCACAAACCAACCAUCAACAACAUGGAUGUGUCCUCCUCCAAGUGCCUGCAUGUGUAACAGAGAGAGCUGGGCCAGACCAGCCACACAUGGAAACAUCAGCCUGGAAGGAUUCCACAAGACUUUGUCAAGCAGGAUUCCAGGUCCUCACUGUGCAGCACAGCCCUAUCAGGUUUACCUGAUCAGUGGCAUCGUCCAGUGGAACGCUGACAGGAGCUCUGAUGUGGUGUUUAGGGGCAGAGGAUGGUGUUACUGGAACUACUCUGCACCGCUGAUCAACCACCUCAACACCUCCUGUCAGCAGCUGUCUGGGGAGACUGGAGGAGAAUUUCAGGAUCCCUGCUGUUGUCUCCUCCAACGAGCUGCUUGAGUAUGGGGGAAUCCAGACCCUUCUCUCUUCAGGACAUCAUCAACGAUGGACCUGGUCCCGAGCAGGAGGAGGUUCAGUCUGGGCAGCCUGAUCCAGACGAGGCUGAUGACGGGGAGGAACAUGAGCUGGAUGCUGACCUGCCCCACAUCACGCUUAACUAGUGAGGAAACUAUCACCAGGCCUGCAUCAUCCCUCGCUGUAUCCACAGCAGCCCAAAAGAUUGCUGGCGUCUCUGGGAUUACUGGCCCCUCCAGACAGCCCAUCCUGCUUGCUUCAUCAGACCCUGCAACUGCAGCUCACACUGCUGGCACACCUGUGACUACUUCUUCGUGCUGGACAAGAGCAACGCUGUACAAGCAGAAGCUGAAGGGCUACCAGGGUGCAAAAUCUGCCAGCAUGUACAGUCUGUGGCCAGCCAACACAGGGACAUAGAAAGUAGAAAAAAGGCUUUCUGCCCAGUAACAAUGAUGUCCCCGUUUAAAGGUCUGAGCAACAGAGUGUUUACCAGCUACGAGCACUUCACCUCUGCUGUUGACAGUUUGAAUUGUAAAUAUGCUGUAAAUACGCAAGGUUGCUUUGUACAUUUUGUAUGUUUGGGGCACUGAAUUGUAAAUAUCUGUAAAUAUGUUAGAGUUGCUUUUUAUAUGCUGUGAUUGAUUUAGAAAUACAUUAGGUUUGCUUUGUAUAUACUGUAAAUAAUUUUCAUUAGUCUGAGUUUUUAUUUAGUUUUUUACACUUAAAUUGUCUAAAAUCCUGUGUACUGUAUUAUUUUUAUUCAAUAAAGUGAUCUGGAGGAUGGAACUGUGAUCUGUAAAUAGUUGCAUCUUACUGACAAAUUGUAAAUAUUUUUUAUUUUCAUGUCCUUUAAUUCUGAAUCAUGUUCAAUGAUACUUUGUCGACACUAGUGCUGUGGUUUUUCCAUGUUCCUUAGUUCAUGCACUUGAUGUAUUAAAGGGGUCAGUGCUACAGUAACAGUGAGUUGUGGAAUAUCAAUUUAUGAAUGCAAAAAUGGGUAAAUUAAAAUGGAGAACACAGGUGGACUGUCAUGUUACUUACAGGUAAAUUUGUAUGUCUGUAGUUCAACAAUAUGUCAUUGUUCUACUCAUGUAGCAAUAGAAAUAUUAUGGUGACUUUAAUCAGCCUCCCAAUAACCAUAAGGACCUUUAUAAAAACACAAGUGAUGAGUGUAAAUAACCAGCAGUUAGGACAAAGCAUCAUCAAACAAGUCUACCUUUUAAAAAUUCAGCUUUAUAUUUAGUUUUUAUCAACAUCAGAACAAUAUAAAUUAUUUUUUUCAGUUGUACAAAGUAUUUGCACACAUAUAUUAAAUAUCAAUCAAGAAGAACACACAUAAACAUUCGCUCCAAAAUAUACACAUAAAAGCCACUUAAUGAUCACAGUAUAUGUCCCCAACAACAGGGUCCACUAGCAAAAAUACAGGCGUAAUUACAGGGAAAAGCUGGACUGUGUGUAUUGAGUGCUAAACAUGAGGCAGGAGGACUGAGCUUGCUUUUAGCUGAGGUAGUAACGGGUUUUUACGGGCUACAAACUGUUCUCUGUUUUGUUCGUGGUUUAAUCCUUCCCUCGACGUUUCAACGGUGAGGUCAAGCGCAACAACUCUGCGCCAUUUUGUGGGUUUCAGACGGUCCAGGUUCAGGUGUGUUCGCUUAGCUGCCGUUCGUACGGAGAACCAAGGAACGGAGUGGACGACAGCUGUUAGUAAAUUCACGUUUAUUAACUGACUUAACAUUUCUUCUAGCUUGUUUAACAGUCGUGUUAACUAUUUAGACAACUGCUACCGAGAAGACAUUUGUUUUGUCGACGGUUUGGAGUGAUGCAGCAGCUUUAGCUCGCUAACUAGCAUUAGCUAACGUAGGCCCUCUUCAGUUUCUGUGAUAAAUUUGUCAGUUUUGUUCAGGUGAACCGACUCGUACCUGUGUUUGAUGUAUUUUCGGGGAAAUAAAGACAGGUUAAACGGCAGCUUAAUGCGCUGCGAAUGACUUUGUCACGGCAGUCUUGUCAUUUACUGCAGGUGGCCGCACCUGUUGGUUUUAUUAGGCUAAUUAGGCUAAUAUAUUAGCAACCAGUGGACGGUUUAAUUGAGUUGCUUGAUUUGUCAGCCGACCGCAUCAACUUCAGUGUAGUCCAGCUUCAUGUGAAUGAUAAUGUUGUGGAGGCUCUUUUAGAUAGUUAAUUCAUUACGGUUAUUUUGACCGUCAUAUCUAAUGCUGCUGGUGCUCAUGUGGAGGCUGUAAUUAUUUCUUCACGCCUGCAUUUUUUUGUACGACGAGCUAUAGCCAGAGCUGUUGGAUUUAUUUAGUUAGAGCUGUUUAGUUAAUAUUGACAGUGUGUUUGCUGACUAGUUAGUGUCGAGUAGCAGAACCUGAAGUGUGUAGUUUUCUCUCCUCUCCACUAGAGGCCGCUGGAAGAGCUCCGUUUGUUGUGAAUCAGGAUCGUAAAAAAACAUGAUUUUCCUGAACAUCCCAACUUUAUUCUGCUUCAUGAAGUUAACCAAUAUACUGUAUAUACAUAUAUUUAAGGGUUCUAUGUAUUCUCUGAUGUGUGUGUGAAGGAAAAUUAGUUUAUUUGCAGUUUCUGUUUCUCUGCUUCCUAUUGGUCUAAAACGUACCACAUGUCCAGGAAGACACACGAAGGUGCAUUUGCGAACAUUAGUUGAUUUAAAUUACCGCAACAAAACAACACCAGUGUUACGUGAGAUCGUUGUACAUCGUUUAUGUUUUGUAUGAUGAGCUAAAAUCUGCAAUUUUGCUGUAGUUUUUAUUUUCCAAACCGUGAGUUAGAUUGACGGUACGGAGAAUGAGCCCUUUUCCUCCGACGUAUUCCCGGUAUCGCUUCUCGGCCUUUUGGCUAAGAUCAAGUGUAGUAUCUGUUCUUAUCAGUUUAAUAUCUGAUACGUCCCCUAUCCGGGGACCAUAUAUUAAAUUGAUUUUUGGAACAGGGAGAUGGAAUAGGGGCUUGCUCCGUCCACUCCACGCAUCGACCUGGUAUUGCAGUACUUCCAGGAACGGUGCA
Molecule: long non-coding RNA, 8558 nt
Organism: Amphiprion ocellaris (clown anemonefish)
Lineage: Eukaryota; Metazoa; Chordata; Actinopteri; Pomacentridae
Exons: 9
Source: RefSeq, a predicted model, not a curated record